Molecule: ribosomal RNA, 253 nt
Filed under: uncultured bacterium
Lineage: Bacteria
Description: partial 16S ribosomal RNA
Rfam family: Bacterial small subunit ribosomal RNA
Source: RNAcentral
UACGUAGGGGGCGAGCGUUGUCCGGAAUCAUUGGGCGUAAAGAGCGCGUAGGCGGCCCGACAAGUCCGCUGUGAAAGUCAGGGGCUCAACCCUUGGAUGCCGGUGGAUACUGUCGGGCUAGAGUCCGGAAGAGGCGAGUGGAAUUCCUGGUGUAGCGGUGAAAUGCGCAGAUAUCAGGAGGAACACCGAUGGCGAAGGCAGCUCGCUGGGACGGUACUGACGCUGAGGCGCGAAAGCGUGGGGAGCAAACAGG